CAAAUCCUAACAAUCACUAGUACCAUCAGUACUGUAUUUGGCUACCUAUAUUCAAAAUUUAAGAAACUAAUACUUGUCAGCCAGAGGACCUGCCAUUCAUCAAGAUGGACCAUGAACUAGACAGAAGAAAAAGGACUGUCCACUUGGUGUUGUGUCAGUCCUGUUUGUUUUGUGGCGGCAUACAGAGGAAUGUUCUCACACUGGAUUUUGAUGGAGGAGAGCCUGGAUGUAGUCAGAGUCUCUGGAAGCUGAGCUCACUGCUUUUCUGCUUCUCUGCUGAUGUUUGAUAACGAAAAUGCAGGGAAGAAAUCCAAGGAGCCCCUCUCUCUCCUAUUGCCUAGU
This is a non-coding RNA of Peromyscus maniculatus bairdii (prairie deer mouse), 342 nucleotides long. The record is from RefSeq and is a predicted model, not a curated record. NCBI's taxonomy places the organism in Eukaryota, Metazoa, Chordata, Mammalia, Rodentia, Cricetidae.